RNAcentral lists this ribosomal RNA (459 nucleotides) under uncultured bacterium. RNAcentral describes it as "partial 16S ribosomal RNA". It matches the Rfam family "Bacterial small subunit ribosomal RNA", at positions 338 to 795 of the family's 1533-position model. The record is from RNAcentral.
CCUACGGGUGGCAGCAGUGAGGAAUAUUGGUCAAUGGGCGCGAGCCUGAACCAGCCAAGUCGCGUGAGGGAAGACGGUCCUAUGGAUUGUAAACCCCUUCUGUAGGGGAGCAAAAGACGCCACGCGUGGCGUACCGAGAGUACCCGAAGAAAAAGCAUCGGCUAACUCCGUGCCAGCGGCCGCGGUAAUACGGGGGAUGCGAGCGUUAUCCGGAUUUAUUGGGGUUAAAGGGUGCGCAGGCGGAAGGUCAAGUCAGCGGGAAAAUUGAGAGGCUCAACCUCUCCGAGCCGUUGAAACUGGUUGUCUUGAGUGAGUGAGAGGUAUGCGGAAUGCGUGGUGUAGCGGUGAAAUGCGUGGAUAUCACGCAGAACUCCGGUGGCGAAGGCAGCAUACCGGCGCUCAACUGACGCUCAUGCACGAAAGUGUGGGUAUCGAACAGGAUUAGAUACCCGGGUAGUC